GGGUGAGUAACACGUGGGUGAUCUGCCCUGCACUUCGGGAUAAGCCUGGGAAACUGGGUCUAAUACCGGAUAGGAGCCAUUUUUAGUGUGAUGGUUGGGAAGUUUUUCGGUGUAGGAUGAGCUCGCGGCCUAUCAGCUUGUUGGUGGGGUAAUGGCCUACCAAGGCGGCGACGGGUAGCCGGCCUGAGAGGGUGGACGGCCACAUUGGGACUGGGAUACGGCCCAG
This 226-nucleotide ribosomal RNA is filed under the name uncultured Actinomycetales bacterium. RNAcentral's name for it is "partial 16S ribosomal RNA". It matches the Rfam family "Bacterial small subunit ribosomal RNA", at positions 104 to 334 of the family's 1533-position model. Lineage: Bacteria; Bacillati; Actinomycetota; Actinomycetes; Actinomycetales. The record is from RNAcentral.